This is a microRNA precursor of Homo sapiens (human), 76 nucleotides long. Lineage: Eukaryota; Metazoa; Chordata; Mammalia; Primates; Hominidae. The record is from Ensembl.
AGCUUUCUACGGGUUUGUAGCUUUGCUGGCAUGUUAAGUGUUGUCCUACAGUCGCAAGCAUAAGAAAGAGAAAGUA